Molecule: long non-coding RNA, 1623 nt
Filed under: Gallus gallus (chicken)
Lineage: Eukaryota; Metazoa; Chordata; Aves; Galliformes; Phasianidae
Source: RNAcentral
UUUCUAUCCUGCCCUCGUAUAUGCCCUAGUAUGGUAAGUGGCAGGCUUAAAAAAACCAAACACACCACUGGUAUUCCUAUAUGUUGGAAGUUAUGAUCUAGUUAAACUAGAUUCUCACUUCUUCUCUUCCAAAGGUAUUAAAAACCAUGCAGAUCUCUACUAUACAUCAGAUCUCAGAUUAAGAUAACAUCUCCACACUCACGGUGGACAGCCCAAGACUCCCUCAAUUUUAAGCAGCGUAAUUUCAACAUGUUGUGACAAUACUCUCCCAGAAUAUAAGGAUGGCAUUUCCAUAUAUUCAGAUAAUGUUGCCUCUACAUCCUAUCACCAGAAGUAUUCCAGACUUCCAUCUGAAGCAAAUCAGUUUACAAUCAAAUCUACAGAAAUCUCUAACCAAACCUAAAGCUUGAACUCUUGGCGUACAGUUUCAGAAGCUGUUAAAGAAUACAGUUCUAAAUUAAACAGGAUGUGAAAAAGCAACAAAGUACACUCCUAGCCCCUUCUGCCAUCUAAUGGCAGAUACCUAGAAGACAUCAUGCUUUCUACUUAGGGACUUCUAAAUGAAUGAAAAAUAAGCCUCCUCUUCAUCCGUAUGCUAUCAGAAGUGAUGUUUUAAAAUAAACUUGCUCACAAUUACAUUCUUAACAGCAACAAAACAAAUCACACGUUCCAUUUUGAAAAAAACACAUAUACCUACUUUUUUCCUGUCCAGUCGUGGUGCCACUCUGCUAUCCUGAGAAUCUGAUUGAUUGAUUUCUGGAUUAGUAUCCAGUAGUCUUUGCAUGGCUCGAUCACGAUCAAAAGCAGUUACAUAAAACAGCAUUUGCCGGGUAUCAAAUGGAAAGAAAAAUGGGCAUGUUUUUCCAAGCUCUGUCAGCCAAGUCGGUAUGUUUCCUGUCAUAAUUACCAGUGGAUCUUGAAGCUGUCUGUUUGCUUUUGCUGUCAGUUUACUAUUGAUAAAUUCCGAAGUUGGAAUAAUCUCCUUGCAUAUUGCAUUAUCAUACAAAUAAUACCAGUAUCGACUGAUAGCAUGUAAAACUCUCAAAAGAAGAAUAACAUCUAAUGAAGGAUCUUCAAAGGUUAUGUUUUCAGGAGGAGUAGAUAUGAGGUAAACUUCUAAAGGAUUCAAUACUGAAGGGCAUACACCAUCGUGCCACAACUCAUCAUGCUUUUUAGAAUUCCUAGGUGAGGUUUUUGUGGGAGCAGUUUGAGCUCUUCCUCUUUUACCACCAACACAGUCUUUGUUGCCAUCUUCAUCCUCCCGUACAGGUUUGUACCAAAUGGUAUGUGUUUUUGUCCAAAUCCCAGCUCUUCCUAAUGGAUUGCUUUCAUCAUCAGUCGAUUCCCUCUCCUCCUCAGCUUGCAAACUGUACAGCUUAACUGCUUGAUAUACAGUCAUAUUAUAUGGUAGCAAGUGAUCCCCAAUGUAAAACUGCAAUCUAUGUCUCACAUUCCCUGAAUUUAAGAAUUGAGCAGCCAAGGAUUCAUCUAUUUCUUCAUCUGACCCAUCAUCAUCACUAUCCUCAUCAUCUUCUCUAACUCUUCCAUAACCUCUAACAACAAGAUAUCUUUCAAUGGCUUGAACCAAAGCCAGAGGAUCAAUCUUCACAGGUCCACCCUUCC